UACGGGGGGGGCAAGCGUUGUUCGGAAUUACUGGGCGUAAAGGGCGCGUAGGCGGCUCGCUAAGUCAUACGUGAAAUCCCUCGGCUUAACCGGGGAACUGCGUCUGAUACUGGAUGGCUUGAGUUCGGGAGAGGGAUGCGGAAUUCCAGGUGUAGCGGUGAAAUGCGUAGAUAUCUGGAGGAACACCGGUGGCGAAGGCGGCAUCCUGGACCGAUACUGACGCUGAGGAGCGAAAGCCAGGGGAGCAAACGGG
Molecule: ribosomal RNA, 253 nt
Filed under: uncultured bacterium
Lineage: Bacteria
Description: partial 16S ribosomal RNA
Rfam family: Bacterial small subunit ribosomal RNA
Source: RNAcentral